Molecule: long non-coding RNA, 2284 nt
Organism: Labeo rohita (rohu)
Lineage: Eukaryota; Metazoa; Chordata; Actinopteri; Cypriniformes; Cyprinidae
Exons: 3
Source: RefSeq, a predicted model, not a curated record
CUGCAGAAGAAGAACUGCAUAUCGCAAGGCAGUCAUCCCAAAAUCAGAGUCUGCAUUUUAGAGACUAUAUUAAGAAGACACCAGGUUUAAUCAAAAGACCUCAUUACAUCGCCAAGCACCAGUGGACCACAAAGGGUGUUAGUGACCAAGGGAUCAUGGGUCUUUAGUGUUUUACUAAAGGUCACCGGAGCCACCAGAUCCAGUCUGUACCCAGCCUAGAUAGUGGAUCAGCAUCUUGAGACGACCUCUACAGCCCUAAAUGUCAGCGGGGACCACGUCAACUUGAGCCUCAGAGGUGGAUCAUCAGUGAAGAACUUGUCACCUGGACCCAGAUAAGUCCUUGAGGGUGCUUUUGCUUGAACCCCUGUAGAAUCGGGCCUGGGCUUGGCUAAACGCUCCAAACUGCAACACAGCUGACAUCAGGGAUUCUCUUAUCUUCUUAUCUUCUGAAUGAGUGACACUUGUCUGCACAAUUACUGUCUGCUCUAAUUUUUGGCAUUAUAUAUGCACACAGCCUUAUCACUAACAGCAGUUAUUGAAUGUAAACCUGUAAAAAGAAAUAAUUUUGUAAAAUGUUUACAUUUUGUACUUUUAUUGUUGCUGCUGUCUUACAUUUACUUACUUGUUGUUAGUGAUCAAGGCCCUUAAGUGCAAUUAAGGGCAAAAAGCUUUUGUUUUAAAAGGUUAAAAAAGACUUAUUUCAUUUAUCGAGAUGUUUUGUUUUUGUGAUAUUGUGGAAAAUGUUGUUUGUUUGUAUUUUUUUAAAUUCUACAGUGUGUAGAAAUUCAUUUUCCACAAUAAACAAUAUAUUGUUGUAUUUUAUUGUUGUGUUAAAUGGAAGAGGUUAAGAAAAUUAUUUUCAAUAAAAGUCAUUACUUUAGUUUUUGAGUUACAUGUACUCAAUGUUUUUAAGGCAAUCGGUUACCAUAAAAUUAAAAAGUUUUGAGCCACAUGAUUUUGAGUAUUGUGUAAUUAAAGUAUUUGAGUUAACUGCUACUAAGUAAUAUUGAGUUAAGUAAUACUCAUAUUUUCUGAGUUUAUAUAACUUAAUUUUUAUAAGUACUGUUAACUUAAUACAAUGGCACAAAUUAUUAAAAACUCAUAAUAAUAAGUCAUAAUAACUUAAAAUAUUUGAGUAGACCCAGUGAAAAAAAAUUUAAGUAAACAACAAUCAAAAACUACAAGUAGUAUGUAAUAGAAACUUUUAACUUCUGAGAACUUAUUAUUUUAAUCGGUUGCCUUAAUUUUUUUGAGUUCUGUUAACUUAUCGGGGUUUACAGUGUACCUGACCAUAGAGAGAUACACAGCAGCAUGUGAGAGAUUUGCAGCAUGCCAGAGCCUCUCACACACAGUGUGGGGGUUCUUCUGAAUACAGAAUCUUCCAGUAGUGUUUUGUCACUUCGCUUUUAUACCCAGACCAAAACAAACAAAUCUUCCAAUCAGUUGUAAAAACAUAAAGACCUUUUGGUUUGUCAGGAGAUCUUGUGAUCCAGCGUCACACCUGGCUGGAGAUUCUCACCCAACCCUAAGGGGAGAACACACCCCUCAGCAGCAAAACACAAUUCAACAAAAGUUUUCAAUCUUUCUCAUAUAUAAGUGACUGCUGUAAAAUUGAGACCAUUUUACAUUUUGCAUGGAGACCUUUAGAAUGAUAUCAAACAUGAAAGGGAAAAAUGAACAUAUUCACAAGAUAUGUUAUGGUUCCUGUAGCCAUUUAUGCGCAUGCACACUAUUCAAAAGCGUUGCUUUAUUAAGAAGAAAAUGCAAGAAGCAAUUUUUAAGGUACAGCAAUGGGCAGAUAAAUGGGCUUUUAAAGGAGUCAUACUAAGUUUACUUUUACAUGUUUUUUAAACAUCAAUGUGUGUUGCUAGUGUAUGUAAAAAUCUACCCUGUAAUGGUAAAAAUCCAUGCAGUGGUUUUUAAUUAAUCUGUAAAAAAUAAUAUCCCCUUUUUCAAAUCGAGCCAUUCUCAGAUGCCUGUCAUUGUUGCGUCACACCCACAGAGGCCGCUCCAACGAUAGCUGAUUGACAUUAGCAUCUUACCUCUGAUCAGUUGUAACAGUCCAACCUUUAUGUUUUGAUGGAUGUAAGUUAAACAAGAAUUGAGCGAUUGAGGUGUUGUGUUGCUGGAUGUAAUAAUGAACAUAGUGGUUGUCAUUUACUCCCGAAAUCUGAGCUGCUGAAGAUGCAGUGGAUUACAUUUGUUUGUGAAGGGAAUGCACCUCCUGAUCUACAUAUAUCCAUCUAUGUUCACGCAAAUCAUCCGUGAUCCAGCUUCACUUACA